UACACUCCUGCGGGAGGCAGCAGUGGGGAAUAUUGGACAAUGGGCGCAAGCCUGAUCCAGCCAUGCCGCGUGAGUGAUGAAGGCCCUAGGGUUGUAAAGCUCUUUCACCGGAGAAGAUAAUGACGGUAUCCGGAGAAGAAGCCCCGGCUAACUUCGUGCCAGCAGCCGCGGUAAUACGAAGGGGGCUAGCGUUGUUCGGAAUUACUGGGCGUAAAGCGCACGUAGGCGGAUCGAUCAGUCAGGGGUGAAAUCCCAGGGCUCAACCCUGGAACUGCCUUUGAUACUGUCGAUCUGGAGUAUGGAAGAGGUGAGUGGAAUUCCGAGUGUAGAGGUGAAAUUCGUAGAUAUUCGGAGGAACACCAGUGGCGAAGGCGGCUCACUGGUCCAUUACUGACGCUGAGGUGCGAAAGCGUGGGGAGCAAACAGGAUUAGAAACCCCGGUAGUCCCAUGAU
Molecule: ribosomal RNA, 453 nt
Filed under: uncultured organism
Description: partial 16S ribosomal RNA
Rfam family: Bacterial small subunit ribosomal RNA
Source: RNAcentral